AUGCCACGCGCCGCGCCCGGGCUAGGGUUCCCCGCCGCAGCCACCGACCCGGCGCCCGAGCGCCGCCACCCUCCGUCCUCCCGGCGGAAGAAGCCGCCGCCGCCACCCGCGCCGCCGGUGGGGCCACGCGGUGCAGCCGAUCCAGAUCCGGGCCUCCUCCACCACCUCCACCCCCGCGGCGGCAGCCACGCCUCGCGCGCCACUGCUCCCAGAGACGAGGACGACGGCGACGACGAGGAGGGGGGCUACGACGCGGCCGCCGGCGACUCCUUCUCCCGCUCGCUGAAAGAGUGCCAGAAGCAGCUGCAGCGCAGGGCGGAGGCGCGGCCGGCGGCGGCCUCACAUGAGCUCGGCAACGGCGACGCGUUUGGGGGGAUCGAGCUGCUCGUGCUCUCGCCGAGGUGCUUGCUCGGUGCUGCCGUGGGAGGGAUGAGCAAGAGCUCGACGGCGUCGUCCAGAAGCAGAUCAGGCACGUUUCCGAGCCCCGGGACGCCAAGCUACAACCGGCAUUGCGCUGGCAACAUGCAGUACCCGAAGGGCUGGAGCUCGGAGCGGGUGCCGCUGGGGGCAGGCGCCAACAGGAGGUAUGGGGGCAGCGGGGUCGUGCUCCCUUUCAACAAUGGGAGGAAGCUGCCGUCGAAAUGGGAGGAUGCCGAGAAGUGGAUCCUGAGCCCGGUUUCCUGUGAUGGGAUGGGGAGGAUGUCGGCGCCGGCGCCGCAUCAUAGACGGCCAAAGUCCAAGAGUGGGCCACUUGGUCACCCUGCUGGUGUUCCGGGAGCUUAUGCAUCUGUUUCGCCGAUGAUUCCCUGCUUCGAUGGUGUUCUGGCGGCCGCUAAUUUUGCGGCUCAUUCGCCUUUCUCUGCUGGGGUUCUCAUGCCAGGGCAUGCGCGCAACGGUGACUUCAGCAGCGGAAGAGCCAGGAGUGGUGAUGAUGGAAGCAGUAGGUCGUAUUCGGCUGAGAAGGAACCGUAUAUAUGGAGAUCAGCAAGCACACAUGCGUGGACAGAAACACUUAUGGAGGCAUCUGCCUUUGCUCAUAUCUCAGAGGAAGCUGCACAAGAUGAUGUCUUACGAGGCCAACAAGGAGCAACCCCUGCGAUUUCCAGUCCAGUCAUAAAGAAAGAUGUUGCCACACAAAUGAGUCCUGAUGACAGUAUAAUAUCGUCCUCCCCAAAAGCGAGGCAUUCCUGCUCCAGCUUGCCGUCAGGGGAUACUAUUAGAGAAUCAAAUAGUCAUACACCUAAGGUUGAAGUUAGGGAUGUGCAGGUAGAUGAUCAAGUAACUGUUACCCGGUGGUCCAAGCGACAUGUAACACGAGGCUCUGAUAAGCGAUCAACAAAUAUUGUUGAAUGGAGGAAGAAGACUACAGAGGCCCGGGCUCCAUCUUUUGAUGAAAAAGAAAGAGAAAGAUGCAUAUCAAAGUGCAAGAGAGAGGAAGCAAAGAUCACUGCUUGGGAAAAUCUGCAGAAAGCAAAAGCAGAGGCAGCAAUCCGGAAGUUGGAGAUGAAGCUUGAAAAGAAGAGGUCAUCAUCGAUGGACAGAAUUUUGGGCAAACUACGUUCUGCUCAAAAGAAAGCACAAGGCAUGCGCACUACAGUUUCUGUCAGCGAGGAUCAGUGUGCUGUCAGUGAAGAUCAGUGUGCUGUGAGGGCAACCAAGAAGGCAUCCUUGAGAAGGACUGGCAAGCCUUUCAGCUGCUGUUUCACCUACCAUGCUUGCUAG
RNAcentral lists this ribosomal RNA (1722 nucleotides) under Triticum aestivum (bread wheat). Its description in RNAcentral is "partial small subunit ribosomal RNA". The record is from RNAcentral. Lineage: Eukaryota; Viridiplantae; Streptophyta; Magnoliopsida; Poales; Poaceae.